RNAcentral lists this long non-coding RNA (8850 nucleotides) under Homo sapiens (human). RNAcentral describes it as "PREDICTED lncRNA (TCONS_00017024)". Lineage: Eukaryota; Metazoa; Chordata; Mammalia; Primates; Hominidae. The record is from RNAcentral.
AGAGGACUUGUUGGAUAAAUAAAUUUGGGAGUCAUCAAUCAUAGAUGGUAUUAAAAUAAUGUGGCUGGAUGAGAUCACUUAUAAGCUGUGUAGGUAGGAAAGAAACAAAGGACUAAGACAGAACCUGAGGAACUACAACAUUUAGAGAUUAAGCAAAAAAGUAAGGCAAUACAAAGAAAAAUUAAAAGCAGAAGCUCAGAAAAUGAGAGGAAAAUCAGGACUGGUGUCAUAAAAGCCCUAAAGGAAAUAGUCUUUUGAGGAAGAGGUGGCCAAAGAGGACAAACCCUACUGGGAGUAACAUGCAGCCGAGGACCCACUGGAUUUGGCAGGAGAGAAGACCACUGACAAACUUGUUAAGGGAAGUUCCAUCAAGGAGAGAAAUCUAGAAGUGGAAUUGCUGAGCUGUAGAGUAUGUGAAUCUCUACAACUUUCAACUUUACCAUGUAUUGUCAAAUUGCUCUCCAAAGUGAUGGUACCAAUUAAUGAUACUACCAAUAAGGAUCUCAACAGGACAAACACAAAGAAAAUAUCAAGGUGCAUCAUAGACAAAUUAUUGAAAAUCAGCAAUAAGGAGAAAACCUUAAAAACAGCAAGAUAAAAAGAUGCAUUAUGUGUAAAAUUAAAAAAGAAAACAAUGAUUGCUGAAUUCUUAUCAUACCAAUGCACAAAAGACAACAGAACAAUAUCUUUAAUGUGUGAAAAGUAAAAAAAAAAAUGUCAAACUAAGUUUUACAUUCAGGAAAAAUAUUCUUUGAAAAUAGAAGACAAUGAGAUUUCUGAUUUGUGGUUAUCACUCCCAUUCUCAUAAUAAGAAAAAAUCUGAAAAAACUGGAAAUCCACAACUCUUCUUAAAAUUGAGGUAACAGGGCAAGCCACUACCUUGAAUAUUAGAGACAGGAAGAUACAAAGAAUUCAGCUUAAAGAAAGAAGGAAGCCUUGGAGGAGAAGCCUGGUGCUGGAGCCUGUACCACUUUCCACAACAUCAACUGUGCUACUGUAUAAUAACAGGGCAUUAUAGCCAAAGAACUGUAAGCCUCAGACCCUAUUUAAGGAAGAGUCUCCAGGGAAAUCUAAAAAUAACAGGGAAGACUAAAACAAGGACACCCAGAGAAAAUGCUAGCCUUUGAUAUGUACAGCUAUAGCAACUGGCAAACACAAUGUAACUCCUAGCCAGAUCAACAUUGAACCUCACACAAAAGGUCUAUUUACUUCAUUUCCUUCUAAUUGAUACAUCCUCUCAGGCUGUCAGCAAAAAACUAGAAGACGUGAAAAUGCAAAAACUCUGUCUGAAGAGAGAAAGCAUGCCUUAGACUCAGACUGGCAGAAAUUUUGAGUGAUCAAACCAGAUAUUUAAAAUAACUAUGAUUAAAAUGCUAGCAGAAUGGAAAAAGUAAACAACAUGCACAAAUGGAAGGCAAAACAAAGACAUUUUCAAAUAAGCAAAAGGUGAUAGAAUGUGUCAUCCACAGACCUGCACUAUAAAAAAUGGUAGAGGAAGUUCUUCAGUAUGAAAGUGAAUGAUACCAGAUGGAAACUGAGAUCUACAAAAUGAAACAUCACUGGAAAUAGUAAAUACAUGGAGUUUCACCUGCCACCUGGAUCAUUUCCUAUUUUUCUGCAGCCACUUCAGGGCGGGGACCCAGUAUCACGAAGCUGCAAGGUAAAAAGGAUCAAACCUUAACUGCCUACAUGUGCUCACAGGAACAUAAGUGAGUGAGGCUCACCAGCAACCAGGAAGUGAGCUGAGCCUAACAUAUGGGAGAGAUCCUGUCUCAUCUGCAGGGAAGAGCUGCUAUAUAGGAAAGUAUCUGCUCAUUGCUGCCAUGUGGGAAUGCUGGUAUUGCUGGACUUUCUGAUGUUUUAGGAGAAACUGCUGAUCUGUGCAUGAAGUCUGAUAUAUAAAGAUGAUACUAUAUUUAUGUGUCUAUGGAUAAAUAAAUAAUGUCAACUGGUUCCAGAAAAAAAAAACAAAAACAAACAACAACAACAACAACAAAAAACCACUGUGUGGGCUAAACAAGCCUGCUGAUUAGAUUUGGCACAUUGACAGUGAGGUUAAGGUGCCUAAGUGCCUGAAAAACUUAUGUGUUUUUGUUUAUGAGAACAACUUCAGCAAAGUUUCAAGAUACAAAAUCAAUUUACAAAAAUCAGUAGCAUUUCUAUACAUCAACAACGUCUAAGAUGAGACCCAAAUCAAGAAUGAGGUCCCAUUCACAACAGUCACACACACAAAAUAUCUAGGAAUACAGCUAGCCAAGAAGGUGAAAGAUCUCUACAACAAGAUUAUAAAACACUGCUCAAAGAAAUCAGAGAUGACAUAAACAAAUGGAAAAAUAUUACAUGCUCAUAGAUAGUAAGAAUCAAUAUUGUUAAAAUGUCCAUAUUGCCCAAAGCAACUUAUAGAUUCAGUGCUAUUCCUAGCAAACUACCAGUGAUAUUUUUCACAGAAUUAGAAAAAAAAAAAAAACUAUUCAAAAAUCCUAUGGAACUUUUAGAGCCUGAAUAGUGAAAAAUAGGUUAAGCAAAAAGAACAAAACUGAAGGCAUCACGUUACCUGACUUUAAACCAUAUUACAGAGUUACAAUAACCAAAACAUCAUAGUACUGGUACAAAAACAGACACAUGGACCAAUGCAACAGAAUAGAGAGCCUAGAAAUAAAGCCACACACCUACAGUCAUCUGAUCUUUGACAACAUCUACAAAAACAAGCAAUGAGAAAAGACUUCCUGUUCAACAAAUGGUGCUGAGAUAACUGCCUAGCCAUAUGCAGAAGAUUGAAACUGGACCGCCCCCCCCACCCUUUUUUUUUUUUUUUUUUUUUUUUACCAUAUACAAAAACCAACUCAAGAUGGAUUAAAGACUUAAAUGUAAAACCUAAAACUAUAAAAAACCUAGAAGAAAUCCUAGGAAAAACUAUUAUGGACAUAGGUCCUGGCAAAGAUUUCAUGACAAAGAUGCCAAAAGCAAUUGCAACAAAAAGAAAAAUUGACACAUGGGACCUAAUUAAAUUAAUGAGCUUCUGUACAGCAAAAGAAACAAUCAACAGAGUGAAGAGACAACCUACAGAAUGGAAGAAAAUAUUUUCAAACUGCAUCUGACAAACUUCUAAUAUCUAGAAUCUAUAAGGAACUUAAACAAAAUAACAAGCAGAAAACAAACAAUCCCAUUAAAAAUUGGGCAAAGGACAUGAAUAGACACUUUUCAAAAGAAGACAUACACACAGUCAAUAAGCAUGAAAAAAUGCUCAACAUUACUAAUUAUUAAAGAAAUCCAAAUCAAAACCAAAUGAAAUUGGGCAAAGGGCAUGAACAGACACUUUUCAAAAGAAGACAUACACACAAGCCAAUAAGCAUGAAAAAAUGUUCAACAUCACUAAUUAUUAAAGAAAUCCAAAUCAAAACCAAAGAAAUUGGGCAAAGGACAUGAAUAGACACUUUUCAAAAGAAGACAUACACACAGCCAAUAAGCAUGAAAAAAUGCUGAACAUCACUAAUUAUUAAAGAAAUCCAAAUCAAAACCAAAAUGAAAUACCAUCACACUCCAAUCAGAAUGGCUAAUAUUAAAAGGUUAAAAAAUAACAGAUGCUGGUAAGGCUGUGGAGAAAAUAAAACACUUAUACACUGUUGGUGGGAAUGUAAGUUAGCUCAGCCAUUUUAGAAAACAGUUUGGCAAUUUCUCAAAUAACUUAAAAUAGAACUACCAUUUGACCCAGCAGUCCCAUUAUUGGGUAUAUACCCAAAGCAAUGUAAAUUUUCUACCAUAAAUUCACAUGCAUGCAUAUGUUCAUCACAGCACUAUUCACAAUAGCAGAAACAUGGAAUCAAAUGCUCUUCAACAGUAGACUGGAUGAAGAAAAUAUGGUACAUAUACACCAUGGAAUACUACACAGGUUUAAAAAGAACAAGACCAUGUCCUUUGCAGGGACAUGGAUGGAGCUGGAGGUCGUUACCCUAAGCAAACUAAUGCAGGAACAGAAUACUAAAUACUGCAUGUUCUCACUUACAAGUGAGAGCUAAACAUUGGGUACACAUGAACACAGAGAAGGAAACAACAGACUUUGGGACCUACUGGAAGGUAGAGGGCGGGACCAGGGUGAGGAUUGAAAAACUACCUAUUGAGUACUAUGUUUAACACCUGGGUGAUGAAAUAAUCUGUAUAACAAACCCCCAUGAUAUGCAAUUUACUUAUAUAAUAAACCUGCACAUGUUCACCUGAGUCUAAAAUAAAAGUUAAAAAAAAAGAAUCAAGAUUUGAGAAAAAAAAAAUGUUUAUGAGAACAAAUGCAUUCAAGUCUUUUUACCCUCCUAUCUACUUCCCAGGCCUUUAUUCAAUUUAUUUCUGCCUCCUGGAUUUUUCUCUAUUAUUUAAUCUCAUCUUCAAAGCCCUUCUUUCAUACCUUUUAUACCAAUUGAGAACUUUCUCUAUGGUGAGAAGGUGAAUUGAUAAGAAGGAAAUAUAAGGAGAUAACUGGUGAAGUAACAGACAAAACCUGGUAGAAAAUAGACACAACAGUUCCUCAAAUAUUUUGAAAAAUCUAGUCUUCUCUUUGGUACUAUUGCACUCAGAGGAGAGUUGAAGAUAACUUUUAUGUUAAUUGAAUUAUAAAGCAUUUUACAUUUCAUUAGUGUCUAACUAGAUUGUGGGUUCCUCAAUGGCAAGGAACUGGCAUUAAAUACGAAUUAUAUUCAGGGCUCCUAUAGAUCGGCAGAUAACUGGAUAUAUAAACAUCAACAAAUAAUUAACUACAAGUCAGUUAGGACUGACCACUGGUUAGUUUUAGUUAGGAGGAGAAUCAUAUUAAUACACAAUAGAUAUAACAAUAUUAGCUUUAGUUUAUUAGCUUUAGUUAGGAGGGGAAUCAUAUUAAUGUGCAAUUGAUAUAACAAUCUUUCAAUAUAGGGCUAAGGCUUUUGCUUUGCCUGUAGAUCUACUGACUGGAAUGGCCAGUUGACUAUUUCUCUCUUUUUAAUUCUUUUUCUCUUUAAUUUUUAAAUUUUGUUUUAUCAUGGUAAGAACCCUUAACAUGAGAUUUACCCCCUAAACAAAAUUCUAAGUGUACAGUACAGUAUUGCUGUAUAUACCUGUAUAGAGAUAAUGUUUUACAGCAGGUCUCUGAACUUCUUCAUCUUGCAUAAUUGAGACUUUAUGCUCAUUGAUUAGCAACUCACAAUUUCCUGCUUCCCUUAACCCCUGACAACCACCAUUCCACCCUCUGAUUCUAUGAGUCUAUUUUAGAUACCUCAUAUAAGUGGAAUUAUGCAGCCUUUGUCCUUCUGUGAUGGGCUUAUUUCACUUAGCUUAAUAUCCUCAAGGUUCAUCCAUGCUGUUGCAUAUUGCAGGGUUUCCUUUUCUGAUGGCCGAAUAUCAGCCAACUCUCUUGAGUGAUUGUACCCAUAACCUCUACAAUUUUAAGGUUCUUUAAAGUGAAGCAAGCUAUAAAGGCACUUGGAGGGAAUUUGAAUGUUUAAGCCUUUUAGUUUUUUAUAAUUUUCCUCCAAUCUUUUACCGUGGUCUUUAUCAUGACUAAUUUGACAAGUGUCUUUUACCAAGUUGACUUUAAUUACUGGUCUUGAUACAGUUGUAUUAAAUAUUUGUAUUGAGAUAGUUGUAUGAACUUUAUCAUAUAAAUACAAAUGUCUUUAUAAAACCUCAAGUUUUAUCGUUUCUCAGCCUUUUGGCUAAGAUCAAGUGUAAAAACUCACAUUUUAUUAGCUUACAUGAUAUUUCAUUCAAUCUUAUUACAUUAAAAAAUACAACAGAGGACAAUGAGGACAAAUACAACUGACUUUUGCUUAGCAUAUCACUGUACUGCUGGGAGAUAAGAUUCUGGCAUGCUGAACACUAACCCAACAGCACUAGACACCCUCUAUUCUGUAGGCAUAACUUUAAAUUUUUUACAAAAUGAAUGGAAGCUAUUGGAUAUUCUAUCAGAUCAUUAGGUGAAGGUUCAGGUAAGAAAGUAUUUACACUACUAUUGAUUGGAUUCAAGUAGCAUUUAUUGGGUUCUUUACAAUAAUAAUAUUUUCUCACCCAUGUAUAUGUUCAGUGCAAUUUCCAAGGUGCAUUUUCUUAUAUUAUCAUAUAAGAAUCCCUAUGAAUAAAACUUUUUUCCCUUUUGACAGAGGAGGAAUAUAAUUUUCAGAAAGGUUAAAGUGACAUCCCUAAGAUCAUGCAGCUUGAAAAUAACAGAGUGGAGUCUAGAAACCUGUUCUGGUCUGACCUCAAGUCCAGGGCUCUUUCUGCUUCCCCAGUGCUUCCUCUCUAUACCAGGCAGUUGGCUAAAUGAGCCUUAAAGACCCGUUCAGUUCUAGCAUGCUCUGAUUCUAUGAUAUAUUAGCAAUAUCCUGUAUACAUCAUGCAUUGUAUUGCUAGGAGCUAGCUGUGCCUUCAUAUCUCUGUGGCCACUGGCAAGAUGUGGAAAGAGGAGAUUAAGUGGAGGGGCCAAUUGGUUUCAGAUUGGUUGGGUAAAUGUUUCAGAACAUCUUUGGGUUUGUCCCUCUCUCCUUUGAUGAAUGGCUCUCACCUCUUUUUGACAUAUUGAUCUUGAGUGCUGGGUAUUUUUCUCUUACCAGCUUUGCUGCCAGUUUUCCAUCCAUCCCCCGGGGCUGAGAUGAGGUGAGAGGUAAGUUGUUUGUGAGUAUGACUUGACUGAGCAGUGCAACCAGGCUGAACGUUUAGAAAGCCCUUCUGUACUUGGAGCCUGCUUUCAUGUCUUGAAAAUCCUGAUUUAUUUCAGGACAGGGAAAAUCUGAGCUGGCAUGCAGAGUGGAAAUUAAAAUCUUAAAACUAUGUAUGAAAAUUGAAUAUUCCAAAUGGCCUGGUUUAAACAUCACUCCGCAUCGUUGAUCAAAUGUAAAAGUUCUUGAAAUGAAACGGGGAUUUAUGAGUAGGUAUAGGACUGGAGAAAGGCUUGACGAAUAUUUAUGGGUAACUUCAAGGAAUUCCACUCACUGCACUUUAGUCUGAUUUUUGUACCCUCAAGUCUUUGCUUUGGAGAUUUCAAGCCUGCAAAUGCUUAUAAAUUUAAAAAUAUUUUGGUUUGGCUGUAUUCUUUUAACUUCUGAAUUUUGUCAAGGAGUGGAAGAGAGACUAUAUAUAUUUAUUUCCACAUAUUUAUCACACUGCAUAUAAGUAUAUGCAUAUAUUUUUCUUUAGAUUUAUGUCUGUGACCUUGAGAAGAGAAACCUUGCUUUAAUUAUCUCUGCACACCCUGACCUAAUACAGUGCCUGGAAAAUAGGAGACAGAGACCCCUAUAUGUGCUCUACUGACUCAUAUUUGUUAGUUAUAUUUGUUGAACACCUCCUUGUGCUAGGCCCUGUGCAAGUUACCAAGGGAUGUACAGAGACAAAUGGAGAGAGCAGGAAUUUAAAAAAUGACCUUAACUUUAAAACAUAAAGAAAUAAAAUUUUAAAAUGCAAAACAUAAAACCAUCCAGACUUACAAAUCAAUUCCUUUUUUGUAAGCUUCAGUCAACAGCCCUGCAGGUGAGCAAAUGUUGAUCAUUUCAUAUACAUAUCUUAGGUUUGGAAGGAAGAGGCAGGGAUGUCUAUUUGAAUUUUAUUCUCCCUUUGGCUGGAGAGGAAUGAGAUUUACACAUACAACCUUUGUUGUUGGACAGGUUGGUGACAGUGGUGUAAGCGUCAUCAAUGAAAUCCAAGACAUGGUUUUAGGUACUUCCACAUAAAUUAUCUCAAAAGUUCUGUAAGAUUGGGAAUUUUACUUAUUUAUUCAUUUAUUUAUUUUUAGAUGGGAUCUUGCUCUGUUGGCCAGGCUGGAGUGCAGUGGCAUGAUCUUGGCUCACUGCAACCUCCACCUCCUGGGUUCAAGCAAUUCUCUGCCUCAGCCUCCUGAGUAGCUGGGAUGACAGGCAGCUGCCACCAUGCCUGGCUAAGUUUUGUGUUUUUAGUAGAGAUGGGGUUUCACCAUCUUGGCCAGCCUGGUCUUGAACUCCUGACCUCGUGAUCCACCCCCACCCUACCCUCCCAAAGUGCUGGGAUUACAGGUGUGAGCCACUGCGCCCAGCCAGGAAUUUUACUUAUAUAUUUUUUAAAUGCUCUUCCUCUUCCUGAAAGACUUACCUUCUACCUUCCAUCUGUUAAACACUCUCUGUCUUUCAGGUGACAGCUCCAGGGGUGCCCCUUGUAUGAUGCCUCCUCUUCUAACUGCAUGCUGGUUCAUAGUCUCCUUCCUUUCUACUCAUGUAAUGCUUUGCAUAUUCCUCAAGCAUGGCACAUAUGCAUCUGCAUGGCAAAUAGUCUUUUCUGAAGGUUGGACUGUGAGCUCCUCAAAGCAGCUUACUGAUUCACAGUAAAUACCAUUCUUCCAUGCAAGUGCUCAAACUGGGACUCUGGGAGCUUGUCCUACCACCUUCUCAACCUUGCUACUACUCAUGCAAUGAGUCAUCAGGUCCUUUGCAUUUUACCCCUAAAUACAACUUGGAGCCUCCAACUCUUUCCACUGUGGCCAUUUAGUUCACGUCAACCUCACGUCUCUUCAGAGAGCUCCUGGCUGGCCCCACUAUUUUCACUCUCCUAAAACUUUCUCUUUUUUCCCUGCUUAAAACUCUUCUGCAAAUCCCCAUUACAGCUAAAAUGAAAUCCACAGAUCUUAACAUCCCCUACAGAUCCCUGCAUGAUCUGGUUCCUUCCUGCCUAUCCAGCUCUAUCUUGGACCUCGGCUCCCUGACCUCCAAAUGCAUUGGCAUCUUCUUUGUCAAGUGCAUUUGUACAUCACAUUUCUUCUGCCUAGAAUGUUCUCUGUCCCACUGUUCACAUAGCUAGCUCCUGCUAUCUUCAGAUCUUAGCUCAAAUGCCACAAUCACAAGUGGACCCCUGAGAUUUUCUUCAGAG